This 535-nucleotide ribosomal RNA is filed under the name uncultured Gammaproteobacteria bacterium. Its description in RNAcentral is "bacterial SSU rRNA". It matches the Rfam family "Bacterial small subunit ribosomal RNA", at positions 122 to 652 of the family's 1533-position model. The record is from RNAcentral. Lineage: Bacteria; Pseudomonadati; Pseudomonadota; Gammaproteobacteria.
GAAUCUACCUUGUAGUGGGGAAUAACCUGGGGAAACCCAGGCUAAUACCGCAUAAGCCCUAAGGGGGAAAGGAGGGGACCGUAAGGCCCUGUGCUAUAAGAUGAGCCUGCGUCGGAUUAGCUAGUUGGUGGGGUAAAGGCCUACCAAGGCAUCGAUCCGUAGCUGGUCUGAGAGGACGACCAGCCACACUGGGACUGAGACACGGCCCAGACUCCUACGGGAGGCAGCAGUGGGGAAUAUUGGACAAUGGGCGCAAGCCUGAUCCAGCAAUGCCGCGUGUGUGAAGAAGGCCUGCGGGUUGUAAAGCACUUUCAGUUGGGAGGAAGGCCUCAUGGUUAAUAGUUAUGAGGAUUGACGUUACCAACAGAAGAAGCACCGGCUAACUCUGUGCCAGCAGCCGCGGUAAUACAGAGGGUGCGAGCAUUAAUCGNAAUUACUGGGCGUAAAGGGCGCGUANGUGGUUACUUAAGUCANAGGUGAAAUCCCCGGGCUUAACCUGGGAAUUGCCUAUGAAACUGAGUANCUAGAGUACAGG